Sitophilus oryzae (rice weevil) is the source of this 1115-nucleotide RNA transcript. It is a transcript of the gene named UPF0430 protein CG31712, with no coding region annotated. The record is from RefSeq and is a predicted model, not a curated record. The transcript has 5 exons. Lineage: Eukaryota; Metazoa; Arthropoda; Insecta; Coleoptera; Curculionidae.
AUCGAAAUCGAACUGUCAACUGUCAGCGACAUUUUGUUUCUUGUUGCAUGUUCUUUACGUUUUAUUAGUGAAAUAGUUAAUUUAAUUAUAACAAUAUGGGUAGAUCUCGUUCAAGAAGCAGAACUCCAAAGAAACACCAUAAAAGUAAACAUCACAAAAGGAGCAAGUCCAGGGAUCGAUCCGAACGAAGUGUUAGUAUACAUAAACGACACAAAAGCUCCGAACGUUCGGAUAGAAUCAAAGAAAAAAUCAUGAAAAUCAGGAAAAGAAGUGAUUCACAAUCAUCAUCCUCAAGUAGCAACGCGUCUAUAGAUAGAGUGGACAGACGUAAACAUAAAUAUAAAAAGAUGGACGAGGUCGAGCGACUGGCAGAAAUGGAGAGACAGAGACGACAGAGGGAGGCUGAAGAGCGACUCGUUGAGGAAAAAGCGGCCAAAAGGAUAGAGGAACUGGUCAAGAAACGUGUGGAAGAGGAACUGAGCAAACGAAGGGACGAAAUCGAAAAAGAGGUAGCCAAGCGGGUGGAAGAGGCCAAGAGAAUCAUGGAGAAGCAAAUGAUGGAAGACCUGGAACGACGGCGCGAGAAACAGAGGGAAGAAGAAAGAAGAAGAGAGCUGGUUAUAAAGCUAAAGUGCGGCCAUCCAAGCGAACCGAGUACUCAUCACGGCAACGACGUACGGUGGUGGACACCUCAUCGUAGCAGGAGGAAGAGCGGAUAAAGCACGAGGAGGUGCAGCGAAUUUUAGAAGAGAACCAGCGCAAAAUAGAGGAGGCUCAGAAAAAAUUGGAUGAAGAAAGACUGGCGAUGGUGGAAGAACAGCGAAAAAUAGACGAAGAGCGUAGAAGACUGGAGAAAGAACAGGAAAAACGGACUAAAGAAGAACAGAAGAAGAUCUUGGGAAAGAACAAUUCGAGACCCAAGUUGUCGUUUUCGUUAAAACCGGUGUUGUAGUGAUAGUGUGUUUUUUACAGUGCUGGUGAUAAAAACAUUUAAAGGUUCUUUUUAAUCUAAAAUAGACUUCCAUACGAACUUAAGAAAUUUAAAUCAAAUUUUAUUUAGGGAUAUUUAUACAGAUAAGAUGUAUAUAUUGAUUAAUAAAACAUUUUUGUAUAUA